UUCAGAAUUGCAACAGACACUAAUACACAGUCACAAGCAGAGAAACCAUAUCAUACCAUAUUUGUUUGCGUCAGCUGGAUAAUCUUGCUUUGGUUACAUGCGUUGAGACGUUCGUUUGUGUCGACAGAGAUGUUGUAACUGAACAGAAUUGCAAACUCUACAACUGCACCGCUUCUCUCAGCAGCUUUACGCAAAUUACCAAACAGAAGAGAUCCAGGAAAAUUGUCGUUUUCUGCGACUUUGUGCCUCGGAAACCAAUCUCGUCAAGACACAGAGAAGAGCCAUUAGAUGUCAGGUAUUCCAAAAAGUAUCACCAGAGACGAUCUGGAUCAGAAUUCGAUGAGAGAUCCAGACUCCUUGCACUACUCCAGUCUGACUGUUGAGUCAUCCCAGUCACAGGGUAGCUCAAAGAAUUCAAGCCAACGAGCUACCCCAACUGGGAAAAUUAAGAAGGACAAGAAAGCCGACAAACAAAAAGGAUCCUCAAAGAAGUAGACGAGAAGGCCGACAAGAUCAACAAAACUUCUUCUAGUGAGAUAAAUGAUAACUUACCCUAAUUUAGAUAUUCAGGAUUAACAGUAAAUUUAAACACUGUUUUUAAUAGUAUAAAUUCAAAUCAUUUUAAUUAAAUAAAAAUAUUUAUUAAAACUAUAUAAAAA
Molecule: long non-coding RNA, 659 nt
Organism: Symsagittifera roscoffensis
Lineage: Eukaryota; Metazoa; Xenacoelomorpha; Acoela; Convolutidae
Exons: 3
Source: RefSeq, a predicted model, not a curated record